Molecule: long non-coding RNA, 2680 nt
Filed under: Nicotiana benthamiana
Lineage: Eukaryota; Viridiplantae; Streptophyta; Magnoliopsida; Solanales; Solanaceae
Description: long non-coding RNA (NBEN_LNC008037)
Source: RNAcentral
AAAUAUCUGUUUACAAAUUAUUACAGGCCAAUGAAUGAAUUACAUAAGUAGAAAUAGAAAAUCAAGAAGCUAUUUUAUAUGGAGCCUUCAAUUAGGCCCAGAUUUUCCAAAGUCUCCAAUGUCCUCAUAUGCCUCAAUUUCAUAGACAAAAUCAGAGUCUAGGUGCAUCAAAGUUCCCUAAGGAUCUCAAGGAUCCCAGACAGUGCUUACACCUAGACUUAGCAACCAAGAAUUGAGCAAGUGCAGUGUAGAAAAGCCAGCCUCAAUAUAUCAAAGUUCAGAGGGUUGUCAAAAGGAUCCCAAGGCAGUACACAUACUAGAUGGGGCAGAACUUAUUGACUAAGAGUAGAGUGAGAAGUGAUGGACACAAGUUGAAAAGGUUUUAGUAAGAAACUGUACCAAACAAAAGCCAUUUUUGAAAGUAAUUCAGUAAAGCAACAGAGAUUGUUUGAAAAAGAGAGUAGAAUAGUUAACAAAUUCCAAACAUCUUAGGAUAGGUUCAUACACAGCUAGUUCACAGAAUCAAGUAAAUUUAGUAGCCACACACAUGGGCCGAGGAGUUUGGGACACAUAGAACAUUUGGCUGCAAACACAUAACCCAACAAAGGUGUAGGACUAGUUUAGACAUGCUCAGAAACAGUUGACACUCGCAUAGUCACAAAACUAGACAUUAGAGGAGUGAUAGAGAUUAGGGAUUCACGGGAUAUAGUAUGGUAAGUAUACAAUAAGUAAGAGACAGUCAGGAAGACAUGCUCAGAGACACACAUAAAGGGGAAUAUACUAAUCUAAAGGAAAGGGAAGACAUAACAACAUGCUAGGGAUGUAUUCCGAACUACAAGUUUCACAAUAGAACCACAAAUAGAAGCAAACCAGAAACAAGAAGAACUGAAAUAAUAAGAGAAUCAUGUUAUUAUUGGAACUCUGAAUUGAAAGUAGGACAUACCAGUGAAGAGGAGAGUAAGCAGAAUGAAAAAACAAGAAAGCACAAUGGUUAGCCUUGGCUUGCAGUGGGCUAACCUAGACAGUAGCAAAUAGCAAAAGAGAGAGAGUAGGUAUUUUUUAGUAUGAGAGAUGGUUUUGAACCCCAAGUGUUCGUGUGUUGUGCUAAUAAAAGAUCAUAGUACUUAUAGUUUGAAAACAUGUAGUAAAUAAGGUAAAAAUCAUAGUAGAAUGGUAAUUAAGGAUUUUAGAAUCAUUCAGUUUGAAAAUCAAGGCAAGUACUCCCUUAAGUUAAGGGAAUCAAUUCAAACGGUAAGAACCAAUAUCAUAUAAGGCAAGAAAAAUCAGUACAUGACUAAUAAGGAAAGAAUCAAAGUUUAGUAAGGAUGGGGUAGUCAAUUAGGACUAAGUUCAGAAAAUACUAAUUAAGGAAAUAAUUCAGUGAGAAUAAAGUACCACAGUAAGUAAGGUAGGGGAUCAGUCGAUUCAAAUAGACGAGGUAGAAUUUUAGGGUUUUAAAAGAAAAUCUUUCAAUCAGCCCAUCAAAUAAGGAAAUCAUAAUAAAUCAAGAGAGAGUUAUGAUUCUAUACUUCAACAUAUAAAUAGAGAAGAACAAACAGGCAUAGUAAACAGGCAAGGUCAACAAUAUCAAUAGAAAGAGGCAUGAAAUGAACAAUCAAGAUGAACACAAUCACACAUAGGUGAUAUAAGUAGACUUAGGACUCAAUAAAACCCAUUCGAAGCAUCACAUAAGCUUAGCAAGAAUCAAGUGGUCAGGCUAACAUACAGAACCAAGACAAAGAAGAUCUUAAAAAUUAGGGCUUUUAACAUAAGUGAGUUAAAAGCAGUAAUAACAUAGAAUAAAUCAAGAUAAUCAAGGAAAGAUGUUUAAACAUAAAGAAAAAUCAAUUUAAACAAGUGUAGAACAAACAACGAGAAACCCUAACUUUAAAGAAAGUAAAAACGGCUUAAAGUUGCUGAUUUUUAAAGAGAGGUUUGAAAGCAUAGAAAGAAAGAAACUUGAGUCCUUAAAAAUUCAUAGAUCUAAGAGACUCAAACAAAAGCUAGGGUUUCAAAGGAAACCCAAAGAGAAUUGGAAGAACCUGCUAUAAACUUCAAAGAUUGUAACAAAUAUGGUGUAAUUUUGCCCCAUAAUCACACCAGAGAAGCAAUGAACAACCAAAACAGCAACCUUAGACACAAGUCGGCAUGGACUAGGGCCCUUGAAGGCCUCAUAGAUAAUAAGCAAGGCGAGGGGGAACCAUUGAAGGCUUGGGGUUGAAAGGUGGUCGCCGGAGAACACCAAAGAAAGGAGACAAUUGACAACUACUAGGGUUAGGUUGAGAGAAGGGAGGAGAUGAAAGGAUUUGAGGGCGGAAGAAUCUCAUAAAUGAGAUAGGGUUAGGGGUCGUGCAAAUUAAAAAAGGUAAGAGGUCGUAUGGACCGUUGAUCUAGGGGAUCAACGGCCAAGAUUCGAUCGGGUAGGUGCGUGCCGGGUUUGGGUAGGUGUAUAUAGGGUCUGGGUUGGGUUAAGUGGAUAUGAAAUUGGGCUGGGGCAUGGGUUCAAUUUGCGCUACAAUUGAAAGCCAAAUCUGACUAUAAUUUAAAUAGCCACUUUUCCCUAUUUAAUUUAUAAUAAGUAAUGAAUAGUUUUCUAAAAACUAAUUUUAUGAGCCAAAAUGAUUUAAAACAUACAAUUAUCAUUUGAAAAAUAUAGGGGUCUAUUUUACGCAUAUAAAAU